Molecule: ribosomal RNA, 492 nt
Filed under: uncultured bacterium
Lineage: Bacteria
Description: partial 16S ribosomal RNA
Rfam family: Bacterial small subunit ribosomal RNA
Source: RNAcentral
AGUGAACGCUGGCGGUAGGCCUAACACAUGCAAGUCGAACGGCAGCACAGUAAGAGCUUGCUCUUACGGGUGGCGAGUGGCGGACGGGUGAGGAAUACAUCGGAAUCUACUUUUUCGUGGGGGAUAACGUAGGGAAACUUACGCUAAUACCGCAUACGACCUACGGGUGAAAGCAGGGGAUCUUCGGACCUUGCGCGAUUGAAUGAGCCGAUGUCGGAUUAGCUAGUUGGCGGGGUAAAGGCCCACCAAGGCGACGAUCCGUAGCUGGUCUGAGAGGAUGAUCAGCCACACUGGAACUGAGACACGGUCCAGACUCCUACGGGAGGCAGCAGUGGGGAAUAUUGGACAAUGGGCGCAAGCCUGAUCCAGCCAUACCGCGUGGGUGAAGAAGGCCUUCGGGUUGUAAAGCCCUUUUGUUGGGAAAGAAAAGCAGCAGGUUAAUACCCCGCUGUUCUGACGGUACCAAAAGAAUAAGAACCGGCUAACUUCGUG